GACGAACGCUGGCGGCGUGCUUAACACAUGCAAGUCGAACGGGAGUAUUGAAGAAGCUUGCUUUAGAGAUACUUUAGUGGCGGACGGGUGAGUAACGCGUGAGGAGCUGUCCGAUGCAGGGGGACAACAGUUGGAAACGACUGCUAAUACCCCAUAAGCCGAGAGGUAAAAGGAUUUAUCCGGCAAUGGAGGUACUCGCGUCCUAUCAGCUAGUAGGUGAGGUAACGGCUCACCUAGGCGAAGACGGGUAGCCGGCCUGAGAGGGCGAACGGCCACACUGGAACUGAGACACGGCCCAGACUCCUACGGGAGGCAGCAGUGGGGAAUAUUGGACAAUGGGCGCAAGCCUGAUCCAGCCAUGCCGCGUGAGUGAUGAAGGCCCUAGGGUUGUAAAGCUCUUUCGCCAGGGACGAUAAUGACGGUACCUGGAUAAGAAGCCCCGGCUAACUUCGUGCCAGCCGCCGCCGUAA
RNAcentral lists this ribosomal RNA (470 nucleotides) under uncultured bacterium. RNAcentral's name for it is "partial 16S ribosomal RNA". It matches the Rfam family "Bacterial small subunit ribosomal RNA", at positions 28 to 523 of the family's 1533-position model. The record is from RNAcentral.